This is a non-coding RNA of Gorilla gorilla gorilla (western lowland gorilla), 148 nucleotides long. It matches the Rfam family "Metazoan signal recognition particle RNA". From Rfam's summary of the family: The signal recognition particle (SRP) is a universally conserved ribonucleoprotein. The record is from Rfam. Lineage: Eukaryota; Metazoa; Chordata; Mammalia; Primates; Hominidae.
GCUGGGCGCGGUGGCGGGUGCCUGUAAUCCCAGCUACUCGGGAGGCUGAGGCAGGAGAAUCGCUUGAGCCUGGGAGACGGAGGUUGCAGUGAGCUGAGACUGUGCCACUGCACUCCAGCCUGGGUGACAGAGCGAGAUCCUAUCUCCA